AAUUUUGGCAAGUAUAUGGGUGUAUUCAUAUAUUAAAAAUCAUCCUUAUUGCCUUGCAGAGAGCACAAGGAUAAUUUUUGGAAGCUUCAAGACUGUUAGGCCUUUGUCCUACAAAAAAGAAAAAAAAAAACAUACAAACCAAAAACAAAUUUUAACAAUAUCUUAUUAAAUUUUUAUUUUUGCAUUUGCAAUUUUGUUCCCGGAGCUUCAUCUUAAAUAUAUAGGAUCCUAGGGUUUCCUUCCUCCUUGGGACCUGGCUGGAAAGAACAAACCCUUGGUAUAGAAGCAGAGAUACCUCCUCUCAUAGGAUCUAAAGUUCUUUUAACCUUUUCCAGUUCCUCGGAACAUGCUUGGAAUUUCUAUGCCGGUACUGUUAGUCGGCUGGCAGAGCUAAACAACCUCUAAACAAUCACUUCAAUACUUUCUGGAAAAUUCCGUUGUGUCUGUUUCAAAUGCUGAUGCUACAAUACAGCACUCGUUUUCUCUUCCUUCUAUACCCGUGUGGAGUCAAUGCAGACCCCGGUCAGGAGAUGGGAGCUCAGGGAUACCCAGAGAACACUGAGUCUCCAAAGGGACGUGGCCCAGAAGCUACUGGAACGCAGGGGCAUGCCGAAGUCUCCGCAGCAACCUGCCCGUGUCCUUGCUCGGAUCCUUGCCUACAGCUUGCUCCUGGAGGAUGAAAACGAAGGGAGUCACGGGAGGACCACAGGCAUCCGGAGGGAGCUCUGUUGCGGGGAACAUGAGCGCCCCGAGACUUUUUGGUGACAGAGAUGUGGCCCUGCCUCCUUAGGACACAACACACACAUCCAGGUGGAGGCCUGAGCUGCAGUGAGGCUCGCCAGGGAGGAGGUGGCAGGAUCAGAGGGUGCGAGGCCAACGCACGCUGCAACACGGGGAAAGCUGGUGUGAGACUGCUUAGCCCACCCACCUCUGCUUCAGCUGGAGCUCCCAUCCCUCCGUAAACCUAAAACUCCAGCCCGAGGCGGAGGACUCACUUCCUCUCUGAGGUCGUCCACACUCCGGCUCUUGGGCGCCUGCGCCCUGGUGUGAUCACUGUCUUGCUCGGCUGCUCACACCUGGGGUGUCCUUCGGUUCUCUGUAGAGUGCUCAAGAACCUGGAGGGGCCAAGAAGAGGUCCCUGCAUCUCUCAGAGAUCUCCUCAGACCCCUGGACAGAGACAAUCAAGAGGAAAGGAAAAGUUAGCAGAUGUUUGACUCUUGGCCUUAUGUCUGUUGGAAUAGCCCUUUCUGCCUGUAUGAUGGUGUGAUUUUGUAUGUGCACACACCUCGUGUGAUUAGUUCCCUAGCAGGGCAAUAAACACAUGUCAGCACCUCACACUUUCCUCUUCUGGCAUCUCCUACACCUCCCAAGGGUGCAUGCACCCUCGCUCCUGCAUACCUGUGUAGCCUCCUUUCCCUCCACGCCCCUUCCGAGUCUCCCUGGAACCAUGUGCAUGGGUUUCUGAGCACAUGUGAAUAUAACUAGAUAUAUCCUGUGGCUUCUUUGAGCAUGACCUUCCUAUGGCCCUGGGAUGCUCCACCCUACCCUGUUUAACUAGGUGAACUUUAAGACUCACCAGAUCCUCCUCUUCCAGGAAGUUUCCUACUAUCUGGUCCCUGUCUAUGCUCCUACAGGGUUCCAGGGCAGCAGGCACCCACUGAGUCACUGACCUGUCCAAAUAGAGCUCCUUCAGGGAAAGAAGUGUGCUUAUUCUCCCAGCAUUCCCAGUCCUCAGCCCUGGGUAGGGACCCCAGCCAUUUUUGGAAUUGGAUGCAUCAAGAGGCCUUUUAGAGGAGUGCGCAGUAAAGGCCUUCAGAAGGUAAGUUGGCAGUGAAACCUCACCAGACAACACCCAGCUGGAGAAGUGGUACUUACAGUACAAGCUUGGAAAUUGGAUGGAGGGCUUGGGAAUUAUCUUCUGAGAUUUGACACUGACAUCAGCUGCUCUGGGACAGGGACUCUGGGAGGCAUAGGAAUGGUGAAGGGUUUGCCUGAUGGUCCUUCACAGCAUUAGGUUUUCACGAUGGAAGUUACUGAAAACCCUCCGUAGCCCAAAGGGUUAACGGAGCUUUUCCUCCCUGGCCUCCUCCCUGGGAGUAACUUGAAGCAGGCCAUAAAGUCAGGCUGAAAUCUCGGGUCACAAGUGUAGGGCUGUGCUCAUAAGGAGGAAUGAGAGCUGGACGUGAAUUAACGAGGUUGUGACCUAGUAAAAGCUUCACCACUCUGGAAGCUCUUGGAAACUGCAUUUUGCCUUACUGCAUAUUUUUGAAAAUCAAUAAAAAUGAAUAGUAAUGCUUCAGGAACGAGUGGAGGGGAGGAGGCUGCGCCGUAACUCCUAGAUGUCAUGCUGAGUGUGCAGCUCCGCAGCGCAGCACGAAGGACCUCAGCCUUGGACGUGCAGGGACGGACCGUGGGGACGGCGCUCACAGCGUCCUGGUUUACACAGUCAAAAC
Molecule: long non-coding RNA, 2453 nt
Filed under: Marmota monax (woodchuck)
Lineage: Eukaryota; Metazoa; Chordata; Mammalia; Rodentia; Sciuridae
Source: RNAcentral